AUUGAACGCUGGCGGCAGGCCUAACACAUGCAAGUCGAACGGUAACAGGGAUCAGCUUGCUGAUUCGCUGACGAGUGGCGGACGGGUGAGUAAUGUCUGGGAAACUGCCUGAUGGAGGGGGAUAACUACUGGAAACGGUAGCUAAUGCCGCAUAACGUCGCAAGACCAAAGAGGGGGACCUUCGGGCCUCUUGCCAUCGGAUGUGCCCAGAUGGGAUUAGCUAGUAGGUGGGGUAACGGCUCAUCUAGGCGACGAUCCCUAGCUGGUCUGAGAGGAUGACCAGCCACACUGGAACUGAGACACGGUCCAGACUCCUACGGGAGGCAGCAGUGGGGAAUAUUGCACAAUGGGCGCAAGCCUGAUGCAGCCAUGCCGCGUGUAUGAAGAAGGCCUUCGGGUUGUAAAGUACUUUCAGCGGGGAGGAAGGGAGUAAAGUUAAUACCUUUGCUCAUUGACGUUACCCGCAGAAGAAGCACCGGCUAACUCCGUG
This 490-nucleotide ribosomal RNA is filed under the name uncultured bacterium. RNAcentral's name for it is "partial 16S ribosomal RNA". It matches the Rfam family "Bacterial small subunit ribosomal RNA", at positions 30 to 507 of the family's 1533-position model. The record is from RNAcentral.